AAAUAAAUAAAUCUUUAUUAAUGAUUUCCAUUAAAGAUUAUCCCUCAUGCAUCCCAAGCGGAAAGGGAACAUGUCGCAUAAAUCAAUUAGUAUUACAAUUCAUUACAGCUUAGAUAAAAAAAUUAAAAAAACUCAUUCACACUGAGGAAAAUUAAGUCGAACACUUUAAAUCCUCAUCUGAAGAUUUGACAGACUAUCCACUGCUGUUUGAAGGAAAAUAAUAUAUAUAUAUAUAUAUAUAUAUAUUUCAUGGGCUUGCUAAUGUGUGUGUAUAUAUAAAGAGAGUUUAGUGCUUUUUCUUCUCACAGGACAAUAUAUUUAAAAAUGUGCUUUGAAGUGUCUUAAGUGUCUAUACAUACAGUAUACUAUCAACAGGAAAUGAAGACAGCGGUGUGCAUUUUGAGUAGAACAGUAGUUGUGAUUGAUCAGUUCAAGUUUGAGA
This is a long non-coding RNA of Sinocyclocheilus anshuiensis, 442 nucleotides long. RefSeq lists it as uncharacterized. The transcript is spliced from 2 exons. The record is from RefSeq and is a predicted model, not a curated record. Lineage: Eukaryota; Metazoa; Chordata; Actinopteri; Cypriniformes; Cyprinidae.